UAAAAGGACUUAAAAUGAUAAAAGGACGUCAGAAGUGCUUCGCUCAUGUAAACAUGUGUAUCUGGCGACUUAUAAGAAGACCGUUCACCCGAGCAAGUGCGUCUAGACACAAUCUGGAUUUAGCUGAAGAAACUCUCCGUAUUCAGGAAAAGAGGAGACGUGAUGCUGAGAUAGUAACAGGAGUGGGCGCAGGACUGUUAAUAAUUCCAGUUGUUGGAUGGAUUGCUGGGGCUGUCAUGGUGACUGUUGGUGCAGUAGAAAUAUCUCAAGCUUCAGAUGGUAUCAGAG
Electrophorus electricus (electric eel) is the source of this 288-nucleotide non-coding RNA. The record is from RefSeq and is a predicted model, not a curated record. NCBI's taxonomy places the organism in Eukaryota, Metazoa, Chordata, Actinopteri, Gymnotiformes, Gymnotidae.